This is a non-coding RNA of Microgenomates bacterium 39_6, 74 nucleotides long. NCBI's taxonomy places the organism in Bacteria, Candidatus Microgenomatota. The record is from Rfam.
GUCCCCGUAGCUCAGUUGGAUAGAGCAACUCCCUUCUAAGGAGUAGGUCGUGUGUUCGAAUCACACCGGGGACG